UAAUACAAAACAGUAAAAUAGAUAGCCUUAAAUGAAUAACAAGAAAAAGUUAGGUGAUAAAAAAGAAAGAAGGAUUUAAAAAAAAAAGUUGGACAGAAGACAAAAUUUAGAUAAUGUAACGAUAUAAUAUAUGUUAUCAAAAUCAUCACUACGGAAUCAUCCAGACUCUCCAUUUUGGUUCAACGAUUGUUUUUGGCUUAGGCAUUUGAGAAAUUGGCUUAGACGCAUGAUUAAUUGAAUUAAAAUAGAGUCAAAAUCGGAUUAUUUUCAGUUAAAUUCUGGAUAACUCAAACCGGAUGUAUAAUUAUCGGUUAACAGGUUGGUUCAAUUGGAAGCGUAGUUUUAAGAACAAAUCCGAAAGUACGUGUAGUUUUAUCAAAAUUAAAGU
Molecule: small RNA, 388 nt
Filed under: Arabidopsis thaliana (thale cress)
Lineage: Eukaryota; Viridiplantae; Streptophyta; Magnoliopsida; Brassicales; Brassicaceae
Description: ATSL059690
Source: RNAcentral